Ornithorhynchus anatinus (platypus) is the source of this 606-nucleotide long non-coding RNA. RefSeq lists it as uncharacterized. The record is from RefSeq and is a predicted model, not a curated record. Lineage: Eukaryota; Metazoa; Chordata; Mammalia; Monotremata; Ornithorhynchidae. The transcript is spliced from 3 exons.
CUCACGCCCGCGCCAUGGACCUCCCCUCCUCCCGCCUGCACCGGGGCACCGGGGCUGCCAGGGGCCGCCGCCGAGACUCAUCCUUCAGCUUUAUAGACGACUGGUCCCAACAAAUUACCUCGGGGGUUGGCCUGCUGCUAGCAGCCUGCCGCUAAGUACACCUGGUCGUUGGCAUCCGAGUUCUGCUUCCCGGCCCAGACAGUGUUCCAUCCCGUCGGCACCACUUCUUCCACUUUGGCAGAUUGGAGCCUCUAUUUCUUACGCCCUCAGCUUUGAUCAACUCUGCCUGCAGAGACCUCCUUACCACGCCAUUAACUGCAGGCUCCUUGUUUAACAAGUGGGUAUUUUUAAUUUGGGGGAGGCGGAAAUCUUGGUCUCAAAUCAUUGUCUGGGAAAGUCUCUGGUUCAGUAAUCUGAGAUGAUACGGCCAUUUGGCUCACAGCCUAUAGCUUCUCCACUCAUGCUUUCUUUCUGACACUUCACAGCUCAAGAACUGCUUUGCUUUUAUUCACCUAAAUUAACUGGGUCAGAAAGCCUGACUCAUGACCAGAAAUGUAAAUAAGAUGUAUGUUUUCUAGGCAAAUGAUAUUAAAGCAUCCACUGCCA